This 234-nucleotide unclassified non-coding RNA is filed under the name plant metagenome. RNAcentral describes it as "partial contains small subunit ribosomal RNA, internal transcribed spacer 1, and 5.8S ribosomal RNA". The record is from RNAcentral.
UUUCCGUAGGUGAACCUGCGGAAGGAUCAUUAAAGUUAUAGUCCCCCGGCCCCUCCGGGCUGGGGUCUUCUAUACCACCCUUUGUUUAUUACACCUUUGUUGCUUUGGCAGGCCUGCCCUCGGGCUGCUGCUCCGGCCGGCUCGUGCCUGCCAGAGGACCUAAACUCUGUUUGUAUAUGAAGUCUGAGUACGAUAUAAUAGUUAAAACUCUCAACAACGGAUCUCUUGGUUCUG